AAGCUCUCCACAUACCUAUCAUAAAUUACGCUGCUAUGAACAUAGUAGAGCAUGUGUCCUUGUUAUAUGUUGGAGUAUCAUUUGGGUAUAUGCCCAAGAGUGGUAUAGCUGGGUCCUCAGGUAGUCCAAUGUCCAAUUUUCUGAGGAACCUCCAGACUGAUAUCCAGAGUAGUUGUACCAGUUUGCAAUCUCACUAGAAAGGUUUACCUCUUUCUUCACAUCCUUGCCAGCAUCUGUUGUCCCCUGAGUUUUUUGUCUUAGCCAUUCUGACUGGUGUGUGGUGGAAUCCCAGGGUUGUUUUGAAAAGUUACUGUUUU
RNAcentral lists this long non-coding RNA (317 nucleotides) under Rattus norvegicus (Norway rat). RNAcentral describes it as "long non-coding RNA NONRATT008617". Lineage: Eukaryota; Metazoa; Chordata; Mammalia; Rodentia; Muridae. The record is from RNAcentral.